Molecule: ribosomal RNA, 429 nt
Filed under: Bacillota bacterium
Lineage: Bacteria; Bacillati; Bacillota
Description: Firmicutes bacterium partial 16S ribosomal RNA
Rfam family: Bacterial small subunit ribosomal RNA
Source: RNAcentral
UGGGGAAUUGUUCACAAUGGGCGCAAGCCUGAUGACGCAACGCCGCGUGGGGGAUGAAGGUCUUCGGAUUGUAAACCCCUGUCGAAUGGGACGAAAGACCCGGGAGCUAAUCAUCCCGGGAGUGACGGUACCGUUAAAGGAAGCCACGGCUAACUCUGUGCCAGCAGCCGCGGUAAUACAGAGGUGGCAAGCGUUGUUCGGAAUUACUGGGCGUAAAGGGCGCGUAGGCGGCCAUCUAAGUCAGACGUGAAAUCCCCCGGCUUAACCUGGGAACUGCGGCUGAUACUGGACGGCUUGAGUUUGGGAGAGGGAUGCAGAAUUCCAGGUGUAGCGGUGAAAUGCGUAGAUAUCUGGGGGAAUACCGGUGGCGAAGGCGGCAUCCUGGACUAAUACUGACGCUGAGGCGCGAAAGCUAGGGGAGCAAACGGG